Non-coding RNA from Styela clava, 635 nucleotides. NCBI's taxonomy places the organism in Eukaryota, Metazoa, Chordata, Ascidiacea, Stolidobranchia, Styelidae. The record is from RefSeq and is a predicted model, not a curated record.
UCUCCAGCGCCGGUAGUGUCUAUUUCUUUAUUGCUGACACGUUUGCAUCUUUUCGUUUGUCAACGUCGCAAACGUCUCAAUUCAUUACUCGCAUUUGAUGUGUUUCUUUAUUAUCUGUAGACCGAGCCGAGAAGGUUUCUGUCUACUGCAAUUUGCGUGUUUACAUCGUUAUUGUAUCGCCUGGCGUUAGAGCCGAAAUUAUAAAUGUGCACAGCCAGUUUGCUGUUGCAAUGCGUUACUUCUAUGGCGAUUUAUCAUUAGGAAAGCUGUAUCAUAUUAAUUAUAGUGGGCUAAUUAUGGUUUUCUUUGUUUCAUGCUUAUUUAACUUGCUAAUAGUUUAAAAUUUGCUGCAUUGAACUCUGGAUUAUUGAACUGCAAUUUGUGAAUCUGUCCUGCGUUUUGAUUGUUUUGUGAACAAUUCUUGUGUUCUGCGGUUACAUAAAAGAUUCGAUAUAUUGUUGACCUUGGCUAAAAACAGGCGAAAACCUCUCUCUCUCUCUAUCUCAACUCAAUCUAUCUGUAUUCGUCAUCUGUUUACGUGAUCUAUUUGGCUCCAUCUGACAUCUCGAUUUAUAAUUUGUGCUGAGCAAGUGCUUGAUAUUUCCACGACAUAUUACAAUUCUCCUGUGUUUGAA